CGGGUGAGUAACGCGUGGGCAACCUGCCUCAUACAGGGGGAUAACAGUUAGAAAUGACUGCUAAUACCGCAUAAGACCGCGGUGCCGCAUGGCACAGCGGUAAAAACUCCGGUGGUAUGAGAUGGGCCCGCGUCUGAUUAGCUAGUUGGCGGGGUAACGGCCACCAAGGCGACGAUCAGUAGCCGACCUGAGAGGGCGACCGGCCACAUUGGGACUGAGACACGGCCCAAACUCCUACGGGAGGCAGCAGUGGGGAAUAUUGCACAAUGGGGGAAACCCUGAUGCAGCGACGCCGCGUGAGCGAUGAAGUAUUUCGGUAUGUAAAGCUCUAUCAGCAGGGAAGAAGAUGACGGUACCUGACUAAGAAGCCCCGGCUAACUACGUGCCAGCAGCCGCGGUAAUACGUAGGGGGCAAGCGUUAUCCGGAUUUACUGGGUGUAAAGGGAGCGUAGACGGCGAUGCAAGCCAGAUGUGAAAGCCCGGGGCUCAACCCCGGGACUGCAUUUGGAACUGUGUGGCUGGAGUGUCGGAGAGGCAGGCGGAAUUCCUAGUGUAGCGGUGAAAUGCGUAGAUAUUAGGAGGAACACCAGUGGCGAAGGCGGCCUGCUGGACGAUGACUGACGUUGAGGCUCGAAAGCGUGGGGAGCAAACAGGAUUAGAUACCCUGGUAGUCCCCGCCGUAAACGAUGACUGC
RNAcentral lists this ribosomal RNA (694 nucleotides) under uncultured bacterium. Its description in RNAcentral is "bacterial SSU rRNA". It matches the Rfam family "Bacterial small subunit ribosomal RNA", at positions 103 to 816 of the family's 1533-position model. The record is from RNAcentral.